GAUUCUUAGUUGUUUUCAUUUUCCCUAAUUUAGUAGAUUAUUAGGGUUUCGAAAUUUUGGUAUUCUGUUGAAAUUAACGCAAUUUUUUCUUAAUUUUGCAGUUGUUGUGCUUAGUCUCUGUGGGUUUGGAUUAAUAGGCAAAAUUGAAGAUUGUUGCGUUGCAGCUUUCUGUGGUCCGAAUUGCCUCGAAUUGUGUCUUUGGACUGAGGAUGCAGGUUUGACACUUUGUCGAAUUGGAACAAUGAUGAUGGAGAAGCCAUGGGAGCUGCAAAACAUGUUUUGUUUGCAGCUCCCUUAACUGAUACAAGUGAAUAUAUUUGGUGCUUUACGUUUUUUUUUUUUUU
Prunus dulcis (almond) is the source of this 344-nucleotide long non-coding RNA. RefSeq lists it as uncharacterized. The transcript has 4 exons. The record is from RefSeq and is a predicted model, not a curated record. Lineage: Eukaryota; Viridiplantae; Streptophyta; Magnoliopsida; Rosales; Rosaceae.